Molecule: ribosomal RNA, 460 nt
Filed under: uncultured bacterium
Lineage: Bacteria
Description: partial 16S ribosomal RNA
Rfam family: Bacterial small subunit ribosomal RNA
Source: RNAcentral
CCUACGUGAGGCAGCAGUGAGGCAUAUUGGUCAAUGGACGAGAGUCUGAACCAGCCAAGUAGCGUGAAGGAUGACUGCCCUAUGGGUUGUAAACUUCUUUUAUAUGGGAAUAAAAUGUUCCACGUGUGGGAUUUUGUAUGUACCAUAUGAAUAAGGAUCGGCUAACUCCGUGCCAGCAGCCGCGGUAAUACGGAGGAUCCGAGCGUUAUCCGGAUUUAUUGGGUUUAAAGGGAGCGUAGGUGGAUUGUUAAGUCAGGUGUGAAAGUUUGCGGCUCAACCGUAAAAUUGCAGUUGAAACUGGCAGGCUUGAGUACAGUAGAGGUGGGCGGAAUUCGUGGUGUAGCGGUGAAAUGCUUAGAUAUCACGAAGAACUCCGAUUGCGAAGGCAGCUCACUGGACUGCAACUGACACUGAGGCUCGAAAGUGUGGGUAUCAAACAGGAUUAGAUACCCGUGUAGUC